This 481-nucleotide ribosomal RNA is filed under the name uncultured soil bacterium. RNAcentral describes it as "bacterial SSU rRNA". It matches the Rfam family "Bacterial small subunit ribosomal RNA", at positions 26 to 489 of the family's 1533-position model. The record is from RNAcentral.
AGAAUCAACGCUGGCGGCGUGCCUCAGACAUGCAAGUCGAACGGUUAAAGCUCUCUUCGGAGAGUGUAUAGAGUGGCGCACGGGUGAGUAACACGUAAGUAAUCUACCUUUGAGUGGGGAAUAACAGUCGGAAACGGCUGCUAAUACCGCAUAAUGCAGCGGCAUCGCAAGAUGACAGUUGUUAAAAGGAGCAAUCCGACUUAAAAGAGGAGCUUGCGGCAGAUUAGCUUGUUGGUAAGGUAACGGCUUACAAGGCUACGAUCUGUAUCCGGUCUAAGAGGACGGUCGGACACACUGACACUAGAAUAACGGGUCAGACUCCGUACGGGAGCAGCAGGUCGGGUAAGUUUUGGGACAAGUGGGCGAAAGCCGUAGACCCAGCCAACGCCGCGUAGAAGGAGUAGAAGUUAGUUUACGGUAUAGUAAACGUUACGAAAGUAAAGUAAGGAAAGAAUAAAGUAGUAACGUUAACUUAAUUUAA